This 425-nucleotide ribosomal RNA is filed under the name uncultured bacterium. RNAcentral's name for it is "bacterial SSU rRNA". It matches the Rfam family "Bacterial small subunit ribosomal RNA", at positions 356 to 772 of the family's 1533-position model. The record is from RNAcentral.
GGGGGAUCUUGCGCAAUGGGCGAAAGCCUGAUCCAGCGACGCCGCGUGAGUGAUGAAGGCCUUCGGGUUGUAAAGCUCUGUUGAGGGAGAAGAAAACAGUUAGAGCGAACAGGUCUAACUCUUGACGGUAUCCCUUUAGAAAGCACCGGCUAACUGUGUGCCAGCAGCCGCGGUAAGACAGAGGGUGCAAACGUUGCUCGGAAUUACUGGGCGUAAAGCGCGUGUAGGCGGGCUUGUAAGUUGGACGUGAAAGCCCUGGGCUCAACCCAGGAAUUGCAUCCAAAACUACAAGUCUAGAGUGAUGGAGAGGGUCGCAGAAUUCCUGGUGUAGAGGUGAAAUUCGUAGAUAUCAGGAGGAACACCGGUGGCGAAGGCGGCGACCUGGACAUUAACUGACGCUGAGACGCGAAAGCGUGGGGAGCAAA